CUAAAUCAAGUCCAUUUUAUUUGAAAUUUUCCACAUGCCACACAUGUACAUGAAAAUUCCCAUCCAGAAUGUAGUUUGCUACAGUGAACACCAAAGUCAGGAGCAGGCAUCACCGUGAGACACCACGGGGGCAAGUCAGUGGGACGGGGACAGGGAGGUUGGUCAUCGAAAGGCAGGUGAUGCAUGUCGGGUCAUUUAGCACCUGGUCAUGAGAUACGGCGAGACCCCCGGGGCCAGGGAAAGGUCACCCCUUAAAACCACGUGGAGGUCUGCUGUCUCUGGGCAGUCUCACGUGGAUGGACAAUGCUCAGAGGGUGGCGAAGGGGCUGGAGGAAGAUACCACCGACGGCUGCAGGGGAGGGGCACGCACACACACAGGCACGCACAUGCUUGCCCAUGAACACCCCCCGGGCACACACACACACACCCUUGCACACUCCCCACCCUCCGCCCCAGACACAUCAACACGGCGGUCCAGGCUCUGGCUCACUCCCUGGGAGGCUUCUGUGGCCAGGGUUCCCACGGCGGGUCUGGUGGCAACAGCUUGGAGAAAAGCCUCCCGGGACCAACCCUCAUUCCCAGGUCCACUGAUCUGGGGUGGGAGCAGCCAGGUGUUCUGACCGGCGGUUUUCCCGUAAACCGACCCCUUCAGCGUUUCUGCUUUUUGUUGUUUGUUUUCUGAGACAGGGUAUUGCUCUGUCGCCCAGGGUGGAGGGCAAUGGUGUGAUCUUGGCUCACUGCAACCUCCAACUCCUGGGCUCAAGCAAUCCUCCUGCCUCAGCCUCCUGAGUAGCUGGGACCACAGGUACACAUAUGGUGCCCAGAUAACUUUUUUUUUUUUAAAUUUUACGUAGAGAUAGAGUCUCACUAUGUUGCCCAGGCUGGUCUCGAACUCCUGGGCUCAAGCGAUCCUCCUGCCCCAGCCUCCCAAAGUGCUGGGAUGACAGGCGUAAGCCACUGUGCCCAGCCCCUCCCAUGUUUCUCGAAGGAGCUUUAGAGAGCAGAGGAGCCCCGAUGACAGCCCGAGUCACUGCCACCACUGGGUUCUUCAGUGUCUGUGGGGUUUAUGUUCAUCAUGCUCAGUAGAUCUAGCAACUUUUUUUUUUUUCUUUCUUGAGACAGAGUCUCACUCUGUCGCCCAGGCUGGAGUGCAGUGGCAUGAUCUCAGCUCACUGCAAGCUCCGCCUCCCAGGUUCAUGGCAUUAUCCUGCCUCAGCCUCCCGAGUAGCUGGGACUACAGCGCUGCCUGCUGGGGGAUCAAGGUGCCCACAUCCAGGCCUCCAGCACCCUCCAUCCCUGCAGGAGCACUGCUGGCACCACCAAGGCCGGGGCACUGGUCUGGAGCUUCACUGGCUGGCAGGGGCCCAGCCCUCAGCUGUUGCAGCCCUACUGCUCUAGGUCCGGCCCCUCCACAAGCCCUCCAGGUCCAAGCCUGAGCCCAGCCCUGGUCCCCUGGGUCCAAAACCCUGCGGCUCUGGGUCUGGGCACAGGGUGUGGUUGAGGGAGGGUGCUGCUGAGCUGGCAGGCACCCCUUGUCUGUUUUUAGCGCCAGAGUAGCUCAGCCCGUCCUGACUGCAACCCUGGGUCGAAGCAGCGAGUGUCUUCCCGCCCUGUGCACACACAGGUCCCGGGAGGGCCUCUUGGAGAAGAAACCGCUCAGGCCCGUGUCCUGGCAGGGCCUCUGGGGGCAGCAGAUGGCAGGGAUAGAGCCCGCCCCCUCUGCUGCAGAAGGAAGCGGCCCUCACCCAGCUCCCCUGGGUUGGACGGGCCAUUGAAAACAAGAAAAGCCUCCCAUAGCAGAAAGGAGUACUCAAGGCCCAGAAAGGCAGCUUUGCUCUGGGUCAUCAGGCUCAAGUGCCUGCUCUGGGCCGCCUUCGGAAGCCUGGUGGGGCCCAGUGUUGCCUGGUGACGUGGAGCAGGCGGCGGGGCAGAGGCUGCGGGACACGGGGCCGCAGGGCCAGGAGGGGGUCAGGAGAAUAAAUAGCAGCUAGGUCUGGGGUGAGCUGGGAGCACAGGCAGGAGGGGGCAGCCAGAGAGGUUGGGGCUCUCCCUUUUAAAGCACAAAGGGAUACAUACCCUUUCCCCUCCACCCUCCCUCCAACCCCUCAGUCUCUCCCUCACACACACACGGAAGACGUGACUCUCACACGCAUGCACACACAGGGCACAGGUACCCGCAGGCACACGCACGCAGGCACGGGGACAAGUGCUGACCAUGCUCCUCCGGCAGGCAGCAUAUGGUCCGCUGCUUAACAGCCGAGCUCUGCCAAUUGGGGACCAUUAGGGUGGGUUCUUUUCCCAGCAUCAAAUGCUGCAGAAUAUAAAUUGCAACUAACACUGGUGCCAAAAUAGCACUUAGAGAAAAUAAGCACGUUAUUAACAUCUGGUGAAGCCCAUCUCGGGGGUAGCAGCAGUGGAAAUUCUUGCUCUAAGUCAAAGGAUGGUUGCAGGGGACACUAAAAAUACAAGGUCUACUGUUUCAGGGGUGCUUUCCAAGGCACUGCACCCCAGCCUCAGGAACGGCCCUUCCCCCGGUCCUGUCUAUGAGUAUAAAUUAUGCUGCUGGUUAAAACCACUUGCUCAUGAGAACAGGACACCCAGGCGCGAUCGUACACACGCUAGGAUGCAUUCCUGGAGCAGACACAAUUCUCUGGCCCGAGUGGGGAAUGUUCUGGAGGAAAGGAGUGGGGCGCGGAGCUGCAGUGCCCAGAGACACAGGCCCCCUGAGGGCCCGGGAACCUCCCAGGCCACCUGCCUCCCUCCUGGGCCGCAUCCCCUGCCUGCCACCCCUCAGUCUGAGAGCAAGAAGUGGUCAGUCCCGGGAGGCACCACACCACCCGAUCUGAUCACCGCGCCUGGUGGUCUCCAGGUGCCAUUUUAAAGCUCUAAAGAAAUGCCCAGGAACUGUGGAGGGGGGGUGCUCCCACCACCUUUGAGACCCUCAUCUACAGCCACUGCCCCCUGGGGCCAUGGGCAGCUGGUCCUGCGGCCUGCAGACCAGGAGACGGGGCCUAGGGGUGUGGCUCUCAGAGGCUGUGACAGGAGGGCCAGGAGGCCUCUGGGAGGCGAAGGCUUGGUCUGGUGUGGGUCCCACCAUCGGGCACUGCUGGAAUCAGCCUGCAGAAGGGUCCCUCCGGCCAGGAGGCAAAGGUUCGGCAC
This 3159-nucleotide long non-coding RNA is filed under the name Pongo abelii (Sumatran orangutan). Its description in RNAcentral is "lincRNA". The record is from RNAcentral. Lineage: Eukaryota; Metazoa; Chordata; Mammalia; Primates; Hominidae.